AGUGAACGCUGGCGGUAGGCCUAACGCAUGCAAGUCGAACGGCAGCACAGUAAGAGCUUGCUCUUACGGGUGGCGGGUGGCGGACGGGUGAGGAAUACAUCGGAAUCUACUUUUUCGGGGGGGAUAACGAAGGUAAACCUACGCUAAUACCGCAUACGACCUUCGGGGGAAAGCGGGGGAUCUUCGGGCCGUGCGGGAUUGGAUGAGCCGAUGUCGGAUUGGCUGGUUGGGGGGGUAAAGGCCAACGAAGGGGAGGAUCCGUAGCUGGUCUGAGAGGCUGAUACGCCACCCUGGAACUGGGACGCGGUCCAGGCUCCUGCGAGAGGCAGCAGUGGGGAAUGUUGGGCAAUGGUCGCGAACCUGAUCCAACCAUCCCGCGUGGGUGAAGGCGGCCUUCGGGUUGUAAAGCCCUUUUGUUGGUAGAGAAAAGCAGCAGGUUAAUACCCCGCUGUUCUGACGGUACCCAAAGAAUAAGCACCGGCUAACUUCGUG
Molecule: ribosomal RNA, 492 nt
Filed under: uncultured bacterium
Lineage: Bacteria
Description: partial 16S ribosomal RNA
Rfam family: Bacterial small subunit ribosomal RNA
Source: RNAcentral